CCUACGGGUGGCAGCAGUGAGGAAUAUUGGUCAAUGGGCGCGAGCCUGAACCAGCCAAGUAGCGUGAAGGAUGACUGCCCUGCGGGUUGUAAACUUCUUUUAUCAAGGCAUAAAGUGCGGCACUUGUGCCUUUUUGUGUGUACUUUCUGAAUAAGGAUCGGCUAACUCCGUGCCCGCAGCCGCGGUAAUACGGAGGAUCCGAGCGUUAUCCGGAUUUAUUGGGUUUAAAGGGAGCGUAGAUGGGUUGUUAAGUCGGGUGUGAAAGUGUGCGGCUCAACCGUAAAAUUGCAAUUGAUACUGGCAGUCUUGAGUACAGUUGAGGUAGGCGGAAUGCGUGGUGUAGCGGUGAAAUGCUUAGAUAUCACGAAGAACCCCGAUUGCGAAGGCAGCUUACUAAACUGCCACUGACAUUGAUGCUCGAAAGUGUGGGUAUCAAACAGGAUUAGAUACCCGUGUAGUC
RNAcentral lists this ribosomal RNA (460 nucleotides) under uncultured bacterium. RNAcentral describes it as "partial 16S ribosomal RNA". It matches the Rfam family "Bacterial small subunit ribosomal RNA", at positions 338 to 795 of the family's 1533-position model. The record is from RNAcentral.